GACGAACGCUGGCGGCGCGCCUACCUCAUGCAAGUCGAACGAGAGAAGAAAAGCUUGCUUUUCUGAUCGAGGGGCGAACGGGUGAGUAACGCGUGAGGAACCUGCCUCAAAGAGGGGGACAACAGUUGGAAACGACUGCUAAUACCGCAUAAGCCCACGGCUCGGCAUCGAGCAAAGGGAAAAGGAGCAAUCCGCUUUGAGAUGGCCUCGCGUCCAAUUAGCUAGUUGGGGAGGUAAGGGCCCACCAAGGCGACAAUCGGUAGCCGGACUGAGAGGUUGAACGGCCACAUUGGGACUGAGACACGGCCCAAACUCCUACGGGAGGCAGCAGUGGGGAAUAUUGCACAAUGGGGGAAACCCUGAUGCACCGACGCCGCGUGGAGGAAGAAGGUCUUCGGAUUGUAAACUCCUGUUGUUGAGGAAGAUAAUGACGGUACUCAACAAGGAAGUGACGGCUAACUACGUG
This 466-nucleotide ribosomal RNA is filed under the name uncultured bacterium. Its description in RNAcentral is "bacterial SSU rRNA". It matches the Rfam family "Bacterial small subunit ribosomal RNA", at positions 28 to 507 of the family's 1533-position model. The record is from RNAcentral.